GCUUAACACAUGGCAAGUCGACGGAAAGGCCCUGCUUUUGUGGGUGCGUCGAGUGGUCGAACGGGUGAGUAACGACGUGAGUAACCUGACCCCUUGGACUUUUGGGAGUAACUUCAGGAAACUAGGGGCGUAAUACCGGACUAGGAGCUCCUGCUGCGAUGGUGGGGGUUGGAAAGGUUUCGGCGGUUGGGGAUGGACUCGCGGCUUAUCAGCUUGUUGGUGGGGUAGUGGCUUACCAAGGCUUUGACGGGUAGCCGGCCUGAGAGGGUGACCGGCCACAUUGGGACUGAGAUACGGCCCAGACUCCUACGGGAGGCAGCAGUGGGGAAUAUUGUCACAAUGGGCGGAAGCCUGAUGCAGCAACGCCGCGUGCGGGAUGACGGCCUUCGGGUUGUAAACCGCUUUCGCCUGUGACGAAGCGUGAGUGACGGUAAUGGGUAAAGAAGCACCGGCUAACUACGUG
This 463-nucleotide ribosomal RNA is filed under the name uncultured Propionibacterium sp. RNAcentral describes it as "bacterial SSU rRNA". It matches the Rfam family "Bacterial small subunit ribosomal RNA", at positions 46 to 507 of the family's 1533-position model. The record is from RNAcentral. Lineage: Bacteria; Bacillati; Actinomycetota; Actinomycetes; Propionibacteriales; Propionibacteriaceae.